Molecule: ribosomal RNA, 2568 nt
Filed under: Triticum aestivum (bread wheat)
Lineage: Eukaryota; Viridiplantae; Streptophyta; Magnoliopsida; Poales; Poaceae
Description: partial small subunit ribosomal RNA
Source: RNAcentral
AUGACCGACACGUUACCCGGCGGUGGCGAUGUCACGGCGCCGAUGGAGCAAGCCGCCGCCGCCGUCGGAGUGACCGGCUCCGGCGCGGCGGCGGCGGCGGUGGUGUGCUACUCGCCCAUGAAGGUCACCACGUACGGCAUCUGGGAGGGCGUCAACCCGCUGGAGUUCUCCCUCCCCAUCUUCAUCCUCCAGACGGCCGUCAUCGUCGGCACCACCCGCCUCCUCGUCCUCCUCCUCAAGCCCUUCCGCCAGCCCCGCGUCAUCGCUGAGAUCCUCGCCGGCGUCAUCCUCGGCCCGUCGGUGAUGGGGCAGGUCGGGACGUGGGCGGGCACGGUGUUCCCGGGGCGGAGCCUGCUCACCCUGGAGACGGUGGCGCACCUGGGCCUCCUCUACUUCCUCUUCCUGGUCGGCCUCGAGAUGGACGUCAACGUCAUCAAGCGCUCCGGCAAGAAGGCCGUCAUCAUCGCCGUGGCCGGCAUGGCGCUGCCCUUCUGCAUCGGCACCGCCACCUCCUUCAUCUUCCGGCACCAGGUGUCCAAGAACGUGCACCAGGCCUCCUUCCUGCUCUUCCUCGGCGUCGCGCUCUCCGUCACGGCCUUCCCGGUGCUCGCCCGGAUCCUCGCCGAGAUCAAGCUGCUCAACUCGGAGCUCGGCAAGAUCGCCAUGUCCGCGGCCAUCGUCAAUGACAUGUGCGCCUGGAUCCUGCUCGCGCUCGCCAUCGCCAUCUCCGACGUGAACAGCACCCCGUUCUCCUCCCUCUACGUGCUCCUCUCCGGCGUGGCGUUCGUGCUGGCGUGCUUCUACGUCGUGCGGCCGGUCAUGUGGUGGAUCGUCCGCCGCAUCCCCGAGGGCGAGACCAUCAGCGACGUGCAGGUCACGCUCAUACUCACCGGCGUCAUGAUCUCCGGCGUGUGCACGGACGCCAUCGGCAUCCACUCCGUGUUCGGCGCGUUCGUGUACGGGCUGGUGAUACCGAGCGGGGAGCUCGGCGUGGUGCUGAUCGAGAAGCUGGAGGACUUCGUGAUGGGGCUGCUGCUCCCGCUGUUCUUCGCCAUCAGUGGCCUCCGCACCAACGUGACCCGGGUGAGCGACCCGGUCACCGCGGGGCUCCUAGUGCUGGUGUUCGUCAUGGCCAGCUUCGCCAAGAUCAUGGGCACCAUCCUCAUCGCCAUCUCCUACACCAUGACCUUCCGCGACGGCGUCGCCCUCGGCUUCCUCAUGAACACCAGGGGGCUCGUCGAGAUGAUCGUCCUCAACAUCGGAAGGGACAAGCAGGUGCUGGACGAUGAGUCGUUCGCGGUGAUGGUGCUGGUGUCGGUGGCGAUGACCGCGCUGGUGACGCCGGUGGUGACCACGGUGUACCGUCCGGCGCGGCGGCUGGUCGGGUACAAGCGGCGCAACCUGCAGCGGUCGAAGCACGACGCGGAGCUGCGCAUGCUGGCGUGCGUGCACACCACCCGCAACGUGCCGUCCAUCAUCUCCCUCCUCGAGCUCUCCAACCCGAGCAAGCGCUCCCCCCUAUUCAUCUACGCGCUCCACCUAGUGGAGCUCACCGGCCGCGCAUCCAACAUGCUCGCCGCCCACCACACCGCCGCCAACCAGAACCGCAGCGCCAGCACCAGCGCCAGCGAGCACAUCUUCAACGCCUUCGAGAACUACGAGGAGAGCGUCGCCGGCGUGUCGGUCCAGGCGCUGACGGCGGUGUCGCCGUACCAGACGAUGCACGAGGACGUAUCGGUGCUGGCGGAGGACAAGCACGUGUCCCUCAUCGUGCUCCCGUUCCACAAGCAGCAGACGGUGGACGGCGGCAUGGAGCCCAUCCACCCCGCCCUCAAGGGCUUCAACGAGAGCAUCCUCACCUCGGCGCCCUGCUCCGUCGGCAUCCUCGUCGACCGCGGCCUCAGCGCCCCCGCGGCGCGCUUGUCCAUCGUGCACCGCUUGGCGCUCCUCUUCUUCGGCGGGCCGGACGACCGCGAGGGGCUCGCCUACGCGUGGCGGAUGGUCGAGAACCCCGGCGUCUGCCUCGCCAUCGUCCGCUUCAUCCCGCCAGGCUACACGGCGCCGCCGCCGGCGGUGGCGCCGCCGUCGUCCGUGCCGUCCGGCUCGCGCGCCAUCACCAUCGUGCCCGACGUGCCCAAGACGGAGCGGCAGAUGGACGAGGAGUACCUCAACGAGUUCCGGUCGCGCAACGUGGGCAACGAGGCCAUCAUGUACGUGGAGCAGGUGGUGGCCAACAGCGAGGAGACCAUGGCGGCCAUCCGGAACCUGGGCAACGCGCACGAGCUGUACAUCGUCGGCAGGCAUCCCGGCGAGGAGAGCUCGCCGCUCACGUCGGCGCUGUCCGACUGGAUGGAGUCGCCGGAGCUGGGGCCCAUCGGGGACCUGCUGGUGUCGUCCGAGUUCUCCAAGAUGGUGUCCGUGCUGGUGAUGCAGCAGUACCAGCUCACCACGGCGCAGCCGGCGAUGCCCGUGGCAGACGACCCCGUGCGGCAGUACGUGACCAAUGCCAACCAGCGGCCGGCGAUGGGGGUCGGUGGAUACCAGUUGGUGGGCCGCGGUGGCUUCUGA